GAUGAACGCUAGCUACAGGCUUAACACAUGCAAGUCGAGGGGAAACGACAUUGGAAGCUUGCUUCCUUUGGGCGUCGACCGGCGCACGGGUGAGUAACGCGUAUCCAACCUUCCCGCAAGUAAGGGAUAACCCGUAGAAAUGCGGCCUAAUACCUUAUGUUUUCCUUAGAGGGCAUCUGAUGAGGAACAAAGAUCCGUCGCUUGCGGAUGGGGAUGCGUCUGAUUAGUUAGUCGGCGGGGUAACGGCCCACCGAGACGACGAUCAGUAGGGGUUCUGAGAGGAAGGUCCCCCACAUUGGAACUGAGACACGGUCCAAAACUCCUACGGGAGGCAGCAGUGAGGAAUAUUGGUCAAUGGGCGAGAGCCUGAACCAGCCAAAGUAGCGUGCAGGACGACGGCCCUAUGGGUUGUAAACUGCUUUUAUAAGGGAAUAAAGUGAGUCUCGUGAGACUUUUUGCAUGUACCUUAUGAAUAAGGACCGGCUAAUUCCGUG
RNAcentral lists this ribosomal RNA (494 nucleotides) under uncultured bacterium. Its description in RNAcentral is "bacterial SSU rRNA". It matches the Rfam family "Bacterial small subunit ribosomal RNA", at positions 28 to 507 of the family's 1533-position model. The record is from RNAcentral.